Phyllostomus discolor (pale spear-nosed bat) is the source of this 161-nucleotide long non-coding RNA. RefSeq lists it as uncharacterized. The record is from RefSeq and is a predicted model, not a curated record. Lineage: Eukaryota; Metazoa; Chordata; Mammalia; Chiroptera; Phyllostomidae. The transcript has 2 exons.
AAGUGUUACAGGUUUGAUUCCAAGUCAGGGUACAUGCCUGGGUUGUGGGCCAGGUCCCCACUGGGGGACAUGAGAGAAGCAACCAGUCAACUGAUUGAUGUUUCUCUCUCUUUCUUUCUCCUUACUUUCCUCUCUCUCUAAAAAUAAAUAAAUAAAAUCUU